GAUGAACGCUGGCGGCGUGCCUAAUACAUGCAAGUCGAGCGAACAGACGAGGAGCUUGCUCCUCUGAUGUUAGCGGCGGACGGGUGAGUAACACGUGGAUAACCUACCUAUAAGACUGGGAUAACUUCGGGAAACCGGAGCUAAUACCGGAUAACAUGUUGAACCGCAUGGUUCAACAGUGAAAGACGGUCUUGCUGUCACUUAUAGAUGGAUCCGCGCCGCAUUAGCUAGUUGGUAAGGUAACGGCUUACCAAGGCAACGAUGCGUAGCCGACCUGAGAGGGUGAUCAGCCACACUGGAACUGAGACACGGUCCAGACUCCUACGGGAGGCAGCAGUAGGGAAUCUUCCGCAAAGGGCGAAAGCCUGACGGAGCAACGCCGCGUGAGUGAAGAAGGUCUUCGGAUCGUAAAACUCUGUUAUUAGGGAAGAACAAAUGUGUAAGUAACUAUGCACGUCUUGACGGUACCUAAUCAGAAAGCCACGGCUAACUACGUG
This 497-nucleotide ribosomal RNA is filed under the name uncultured bacterium. RNAcentral describes it as "partial 16S ribosomal RNA". It matches the Rfam family "Bacterial small subunit ribosomal RNA", at positions 28 to 507 of the family's 1533-position model. The record is from RNAcentral.